Equus caballus (horse) is the source of this 4006-nucleotide long non-coding RNA. Lineage: Eukaryota; Metazoa; Chordata; Mammalia; Perissodactyla; Equidae. The record is from Ensembl.
CAUCCUUCCUUGGAAACCAUCUCCUGAAACUUGACUUGACUCCAAAGCAUUUGGAGGCAUCUGAGGGCUGCUGUCUCGUCAGUCCAGUGCUCUCCUUGGCUAUUUGCUCUGGGGGUGGCUGUGCACGAGGUGCCCCUUCUGCACCCCAAGCUGGUGCUAGGACUGGCCAGGCCUACUCGGCACGUCUGAGGGGGCAGGGCCCUGCCCCCAGGUCUCCCAGGCACAGCUAGGGCCCACAGACCCCAUUUUUGACCUUUCGAGCUUGUACACUAAAGCUCCCUCUGCGUGCUUCCUCUGUGCCUGGCACUGUGCUGGGCGUCCUCCGGUGGUGUCAUGCACACUGUAUCCCGGGAGAUGGGUGGUGUCCAGUCGUCCCCAUUUUACAGCUAAGUAAACAGCCUGGGACAUUAAGUGUUAUAAAGAGCAGAGCCAGGACUUGGAGCCAAGGUUUCCAAGGCCAACGUUGGGUGCUGUUUCCAUACCCCACCCUGGGCAAGACCAGAGAUGACUCAGCUGAGAACUCUGCCCUCAGGAGGAGAUGGAGCCAGAGAUCUGAUAACUGACCACUGCAGCCCAGGGGACGGGCCAGAAGGGCUCUGAGAGCACUGCCCUUCCAGGCUGGUCCCCUGCUGGCUCCUUGGAUCCCUGCCCACUCAUGGGACCUCCCUCACAAAGCCAACACCUGUCUGCAAAGUGCUGUAUACCUGCUCACUUCAUGGAAACAUCUCUCAACCAGUGGUCAUUUUAGAGAAGGAAGGCAGUGGUUUAGAAAAACACAUGUUUUAAAGCAGUGUUAGCCUUUUUUCCCCCCAAAGGCUAUUAUUUUUUCAGAACAGCUUUAGGUCACAGCAAAAUUAAUAGGAAGGUACAGAAAUUUCCCAUAUGCCCCUUGCCCCUACACAUGCAUAGCAGCCCCUAUUAUCUCCAUCCCCCACCAGACCGGUGCAUUUGUUACAGUUGGUGAGUCUAUGUGGUAGCCUUUUUUCCCAAACAGAAUUUCAUCUGAACAUGCUUAAAAUUGCAAACAGAUACAAGGGGAAUUAUUCUGUGUGGAGAGUGUGGGGGAACCUGUCAGCCCUCCUGUUUCUGACCCCUCCUACCACCCACUCAGAUUCUGCAGAGCCAGAUGUAGUUUAUGACCCCUACUCUGAGGUGGCGAGAGUUAAUGCUACUCUUUGUUAAUGAGCUCCUCUCUGGGUCUGUGCCUCUAGAGCAUAAGUUCCAUGCGGCAUGUUUUUUUUUAAAAAAAAAUUACGGUAAAAUAUACAUAACAUAAAAUUUACCAUUUUAACCAUUUUUAAGUGUACAAUUCAGUGGCAUUAAGUAUAUUCCCAUUGUUGUGUAACUAUCACCACCAUCCAUUUCCAGAAAUUUUCUUUUUUUUUCCAAGAUUUUAUUUUUUUUCCUUUUUCUCCCCAAAGCCCCCCAGUACGUAGUUGUAUAUUCUUUGUUGUGGGUCCUUCCAGUUGUGGCAUGUGGGACACCGCCUCAGCGUGGUUUGAUGAGCAGUGUCAUGUCCGCGCCCAGGAUUCGAACCAACGAAACACUGGGCCGCCUGCAGCGGAGUGCGAGAACUUAACCACUCGGCCACAGGGCCAGCCCCUCCAGAACUUUUUCAUCAUCUCAAACUGAAUCUCUAUACCCGUUAAAAAAUAACUCCCUGGGGGCUGGCCCCGUGGUCGAGUGGUUAAGUUCGCGCACUCUGUACCGGGGGGCUUUGGGGAGAAAAAGGAAAAAAAUAAAAUCUUUAAAAAAAAAAAAAAUAACUCCCCAUCCUCCCUCUCCCCAGAUCGUGGCAACCACCAUUCUACUCUCUCUCUAUGAAUUUGCCUAUUCUACAUACCUCACAAGUGGAAUCGUACAGUAUUUAUCUCUUUGUGCUUGGCUUAAUUCACUUAGCAUAAUGUCUUCAAGGUUCAUCCAGGUGGUAGCAUGUCUCAGAAUUUCCUUCCUUUUUGAGGUUGAAUAAUAUUCCAUUGUAUAUACCACAUUUCUUUAUCCAUUUGUCUGUGGAUGGACAUUUGGGUUGCUUCCACCUUUUGGCUCUUGUGAACAAUGCUACUAUGAGCAUUAAUGUACAAAUACCUGUUUGAGUCACUGCUUGCAUUGCUUUGGGAUAUAUGGCCAGAAGUGGAAUUGCUGGAUCAUAUGAUAAUUCUAUGUUUAACUUUUUGAGGAAGUAUCACGCCAUUUCCUACAAAGGAUGCACCAUUUACAUUCCCACCAACAAUUCACAAAGGUUCUAAUUUCUCCACAUCCUUGUCUUCAUAGCAGGGGUUUUUAUCUCUUGCUCAUGGCUAUAUUUGCAGAGACUAGGACAGUGCCCAGCACAUAUUAGGUACUCAAUAAAUGUUUGUUGGGUUGAAUGAAUGGGAGGCCUUGGUCUCUGGGCAGCUGUAGCAGGGAGUCCUCCUGCCUGUCACCCAAUCCACAGAACCUUCCUCUUCUAGUCCCUGCUCAGCUCUAAGAGAAUCACCCUUUCGAUGGGGUAAGUUACCUUGAGGUGCCCACUGGUGUUGAGAGCUGCGUUAAAGAGAAAAUGUGGCACUGUGGAGGUCAGGGAAUCUAACAUGUUGGCUAGCAUGGGAGUGCUUUACAAACUGUGGGUGUUGACCCAUUUGUGGCUUGUGAUACCAGUUGUUAGUGGUUAAAACCAGCAUUUAUGAAAAAUGAAAUAGAAUAAAAAUACCAGGGUAUACAACACAGGAGAAAGAGUAAGUAUCACUUUGUGAAACUUUUGUUUUUAGUGUGAUAUUUAUGUACGUGUGUAAUGGGUCACAAAGAGUUUAAAAAACACUUGUAUAGCAUGUGCAGCCUCUGCUUAAAGACUUCCCCAUAGCAGGGAGCCUACUACCUUACAAGGAAGCCCAUGUUUUUUGGGGGUCCACUGUAACAUUGGAACAUUCCUCUCUUAUUGAGCAGAAACCAUUCAGCAUGUAAGAUCUUUGUUUUGAGGCCCUACUGUGUGCUAGGCUGUGUAAAAGACACUUGAGAUGAAAAAGAUCAGAGGUUGCCUCCAGGAGUUUAAUGGAGAAGAGAGGCUGGAGGACAAGAAAGGGGACAGCCUGCUGUGGGGAGGGAUGGAAGAGGAGAGACAGUGAACUCUGGCUGGGGGAGUCCAGGAAGGAUGCUGGAAUGGGUCUUGAAGGGUGAACAAGAGUUUGCUAUUCUCUACCAAGAGAAAAGCUUAUAGGAAAGUAUGGAGAUGAGAAAGAGCAGAUUAUGUUCAAAGAAUAGAAAGUAGCCUUGUCCGACUUGAGUCCAGGAUCCCUAAGGAGGUCAGGGAUGGGGGUGACCAACUAGGGGGACAUGAGGCAGGAGGGCAGGCGAAGGGCACAUUGUGUCUUUGUGCCAAGAACUUAGAUUUUUCACCCUACAGCCAGAGGGGUGUCAUUUGAAUAUUUAGGAAACAUGGGUCUGGAUGUGCGCUGGGGUCUGGGGAAUUAGGGUGAAUGAAACAAAGACCUCGCCUGAGAAGCUGGCACUCCAGCAUGGGGAGCAGACACGAAAUACGGGGUCACGCAAGAGACACAUGGCUAUAGAAAGUGGCAUGAACGGCGUGAAGGGAAACAACAGGGUCCUGAGAGAGCUGGUGAGGGGGGACCCGGUUUCGACCAGGAGGGAAGGCUUCUGUGAGGAAAGGAUAGUAAGUUGCAGCCUGCAGGCAACGAGCCUUCCCGGCAGAGGAGGCAGCAUGGACAAAGGCCAGGAGAGGGGUAGGGCCGGCCUAGAGUAAGAAUUUGGGAUCGUGUCCCAUGGGCAGUGAGGAGCCACUGGAGAGUUUUAAGCAAGUGUGUGUGUGAGUGAUGAUUUAUUUUUACAUGAAAGGAAAAGUAUAUCCAGGGCAAAGAUAAGAGUCAGGAGGCCGAGAGGAACAGGAAGGAAGGGAAGCUGUGAGGGGCCUUGGAAAGCCCACCUUUGUUUCCUGUGGAUCCUGGAAUUUGGCUUUUUGGCCCUGGAGGUGGGGGAUAGGAGAAGAGACAGGAGAUGCACAUAUGACAGGGGA